CCCUUAGAUGUCCGGGGCUGCACGCGCGCUACACUGAAGGAAUCAGCGUGCUAAAACCAUUGUCGAAAGGCAUUGGUAAACCCAUUAAAAUCCUACGUGAUUGGGAUCGGGAAUUGCAAUUAUUUCCCUUGAACGAGGAAUUCCCAGCAAGUGUGGGUCAUAAGCUCGCGUUGAUUACGUCCCUGCCCUUUGUACACACCGCCCGUCGCUGCCCGGGACUGAGCCGUUUCGAGAAAAGCGGGGACUGCUGCUGUCGGGGCUUUCGGGCCUUGGCUUCGGUGGAAACCGCUUUAAUCGCAGUGGCUUGAACCGGGCAAAAGUCGUAACA
Molecule: ribosomal RNA, 328 nt
Filed under: uncultured eukaryote
Lineage: Eukaryota
Description: partial 18S ribosomal RNA
Rfam family: Eukaryotic small subunit ribosomal RNA
Source: RNAcentral